This 211-nucleotide ribosomal RNA is filed under the name Staphylococcus aureus. RNAcentral describes it as "partial 23S ribosomal RNA". It matches the Rfam family "Bacterial large subunit ribosomal RNA", at positions 1085 to 1300 of the family's 2925-position model. Lineage: Bacteria; Bacillati; Bacillota; Bacilli; Caryophanales; Staphylococcaceae. The record is from RNAcentral.
CCAGACAACUAGGAUGUUGGCUUAGAAGCAGCCAUCAUUUAAAGAGUGCGUAAUAGCUCACUAGUCGAGUGACACUGCGCCGAAAAUGUACCGGGGCUAAACAUAUUCCCGAAGCUGUGGAUUGUCCUUUGGACAAUGGUAGGAGAGCGUUCUAAGGGCGUUGAAGCAUGAUCGUAAGGACAUGUGGAGCGCUUAGAAGUGAGAAUGCCGG